This 71-nucleotide transfer RNA is filed under the name Candidatus Pacearchaeota archaeon. Its description in RNAcentral is "tRNA-Trp". It matches the Rfam family "tRNA". From Rfam's summary of the family: Transfer RNA (tRNA) molecules are approximately 80 nucleotides in length. The record is from RNAcentral. Lineage: Archaea; Nanobdellati.
GGGUCCAUCGGAUAAUGAUAGUCUACUCGGCUCCAGCCCGGGCGGCGGGGGUUUGAUUCCUCCUGGGCCCA